This 351-nucleotide ribosomal RNA is filed under the name uncultured Glomeromycotina. RNAcentral's name for it is "LSU rRNA". Lineage: Eukaryota; Fungi; Glomeromycota. The record is from RNAcentral.
CAGUCGUACUGGCGGGAAAUCAACCUCUCGAGUGCUUGUCGUAGGUGACGUUGAGCUUCACGGCCUUCGUUGCUUAUGUUAUGGUGCUUUUGGGGUGUACUUUUCCGUAUGGUAGGUCAACAUCGAUUUUGAUCGUCAUAAAAUGAUCGGGGGAAUGUGGCUCUGAUUUCGUAUUGGAGUGUUAUAGCCUUUGGUAGAUGUGACGAUUGGGAUCGAGGAUUGCAACGAAUACCCUUUGGGCUAUCCGUCUGACCUCUGAAAGUCGCUUGGGUGUUGAAAGCGUGCUUAUAACAUUCAAGUUGGCGGUCAAAAGGUUAGAACGCGAUUACAUUCGUUAAGGAUGUUGACGUA